RNAcentral lists this long non-coding RNA (662 nucleotides) under Hordeum vulgare. RNAcentral's name for it is "long non-coding RNA (HVUL_LNC001031)". The record is from RNAcentral. Lineage: Eukaryota; Viridiplantae; Streptophyta; Magnoliopsida; Poales; Poaceae.
GUUAACAUCUCACAUUCAGUCAUUAUGUCAAGUCAUCCGACUUAGCUGAGGUAUCAUAUUUUGCGCACACACAGUUUUAUAACAGUGGACAUAGUUUAAGCACCACCACCCAACUGUCCUUUCCCGUGGACACGACUAUUCGAAUAGUUUUACACUCUGUAGAGGUUGCACACUUUACCCACAAGACUCGGGAAACUUCCGUGUCAAUCCGCGACUCACGGUCUUUUUCGUACCCGAGGUAAGUACCCGAACAAUGCCUUUCCCAUGAUGAAACUAACCAAGAGUCCACUCGUUGGUGCCAGCCCUCGUGAUGUACAUCACAAGUAUCAUCCACGAGGGCACACAAUGGUGUGCCCGGUGUCUGUGAAAACAACCCAUGUUCGUCCUUUCCAGCAUGACCCCAUAUCGAGAGUGACCACAUCACUCCCGCCACUAGCAAUGCAGACUCUCAGCCAGUACUGACCAUAAUAAUCAACAAAGCCCCGUCCCAUAAGGGGUAUCGUGGUUGUACAUGUAAUGUUGGGAACGGUCGACAAAUCUUAAAUUUAAUCCGUUUUUGAAACCACACAGUCACUUGUCUCGGUACACUACUUCUGUCUCAAGUGGUUACCUAGCUCAACAUAAUCUCCCUCGGGAAUUAGUGGCACCCGGUUUUCAAAAAG